This 1296-nucleotide ribosomal RNA is filed under the name Triticum aestivum (bread wheat). RNAcentral's name for it is "partial small subunit ribosomal RNA". The record is from RNAcentral. Lineage: Eukaryota; Viridiplantae; Streptophyta; Magnoliopsida; Poales; Poaceae.
AUGGAUAUGGACUUUGGAGAUGCACAGAAAGAAUCCAUUGAGGGUUCAUAUGCGAUGUUGCUGCAAGGGGACAAAAAUUCACAACAUAAAAAUGUCGAAGAGGUUAUAUCUCAUAACAAACCAAAAAAGGAUGCUAAUUUACAUGUUAUCUCACAAGACUAUGUUUGUACCCCUAGGGAUAUUACAGUCAUCGAAUCAAUCAAGUCUGCCCCCAAGAAUACCCAGUUCGUGGACAUUGGAGAUGCCUUGUUAUCAACCGACGAUUUGGAAUGCCUUAUGAAAGAUGAUAUGUUCUUACAUGAUGGUGUGAUAAAUGCUUACAUAUAUUGCAUGCUUGCUCACGACCAUCUACAAGACAGAGCGGGUGAAAAGAUACACAUUGUUAGCAUGUUUGUAUCUGGCCAGAUAAAAGAAGACGGGGAAAGAGAUAUAGACCCAUCAAAAUAUCACCACAUCGUGCAUCAUGUUAAUACUUAUCUACAACAAGACAUGUUAUUCAUUCCGAUUAACAUAUCGGGCUACCAUUGGUAUCUAGCAGUCUUCAAUGCCAAAAAACGUGAGAUUCAACGUUUCAUGUCGACUGUUUAUGCUAAAUUAUAUGGAAUACUGGACAUCACAUGCAUUGUCAGACCAAUUCACCCAGAGCUGAAUAAGCUAAAAGGAGGUCCCAUAUACCAUCAACCUGACGAUCAAGAAACUUUAGCUAAUUCUGAUCUCAAUAUAUUGGACAAUCCAUCUGACGUAGUCAAAGACAAACGUCCUACACCAAUCAGUAUCAUACCCACGGACCAACGUGAAUUACUUGCCGACCUCUGCAACUACAUCAUGUCGAUCGAUGAUGCCGGUUGUUUGGAGAAGGUAUGGGUCCGGAGCUCGACACUCGAUCCAAUGGGCUUAAGUCUUAAGAAACUUCAGUGCAUACUUAACAUAGAGCAGCCCAUGGACAAUGAUUGCUUCAACACAGCUGUGCGUAUGCUGGCAUGUGACGAGGGAGUAUUGUUCACAUACCCUCCUGUGCACUACAUGGAUCUACGAUUUUGUUCCAUGAUGCUAGAGUCAACACGAGAUCAGAAGUUUUGCGAGAAGGAAACUAUCCAGACGUUGGCAACAUUAUUUGAUAGCUGGCCUGGGAUGGACAACGACAUCUCAUCGUGCAACAAGAUUUAUCUUCCCUAUGCAUCCAUCGGCCGAUACAUCUUGAAUGUGUCUGGCUAUUUUGUUUUUCAUUUUAUGCUCGGGUGGAACGGCAAAGAAUUGGUCAAGCCGAUUUGCACGAUGAGUAUUGAUGGGUAUUAA